UGCGCCCAGGGGCGUAAUCUUAAGGAAGUCGGCGGCAAGUCUCUUGUCUUACGUAUAGAAAUCACAUAUAAGGCAGUGCCUAUGGGUAAGGUUGCCUAACAAACCAAAGCUCAAUAACUACCUAAAAGAACAAGGGUUUAUAACAUUAACCAAAAGCUAUUUAA
Molecule: non-coding RNA, 164 nt
Filed under: Clostridium collagenovorans DSM 3089
Lineage: Bacteria; Bacillati; Bacillota; Clostridia; Eubacteriales; Clostridiaceae
Source: RNAcentral